This 484-nucleotide ribosomal RNA is filed under the name uncultured bacterium. RNAcentral's name for it is "partial 16S ribosomal RNA". It matches the Rfam family "Bacterial small subunit ribosomal RNA", at positions 29 to 523 of the family's 1533-position model. The record is from RNAcentral.
AGUGAACGCUGGCGGCGUGCUUAACACAUGCAAGUCGAACGAGAACGGAUUAUAGCUUGCUAUAAUUGUCAGCUAAGUGGCGCACGGGUGAGUAAUGUAUAGGUAAUAUGCCUCUUACUAAGGGAUAACAAAUGGAAACGUUUGCUAAUACCUUAUACUCCUUAUUAACAGAAGUUAAUAAGGGAAAGAUUUAUUGGUAAGAGAUUAGCCUGUAUUGUAUCAGUUAGUUGGUGGGGUAAUGGCUUACCAAGACUAUGACACAUAACUGGUUUGAGAGGAUGAUCGGUCAUGCUGGAACUGAGACACGGUCCAGAAUCCUACGGGAGGCAGCAGUGGGGAAUAUUGCACAAUGGACGAAAGUCUGAUGCAGCAACGCCGCGUGGAGGAUGACACAUUUCGGUGCGUAAACUCCUUUUAUAUGAGAAGAUAAUGACGGUAUUAUAUGAAUAAGCACCGGCUAACUCCGUGCCAGCAGCCGCCGUAA